This 560-nucleotide long non-coding RNA is filed under the name Numida meleagris (helmeted guineafowl). Its description in RNAcentral is "lncRNA (ENSNMEG00000018030.1)". The record is from RNAcentral. Lineage: Eukaryota; Metazoa; Chordata; Aves; Galliformes; Numididae.
UCUGCAACCUCUGUUAUUGCAGACUGUGAAUGUGUUGUCUUGAAAUGUACAAGCUGCAAUUAAGAGCUAUUGGAUAAUAACUAUGCCAUGAAAAUGUCCUAAACUAUUAAAGAGCUGAAGAUGAUAGCGUGCUUUUAACGUUUCACAUAAACCAUUUGGGAUUUGAAGAAGUUUCAGCACUCAUGAGGAAGUCAGAAUUAUGCUUGCUGGGUUAAAGGGAAGGAAGAGAAAAACCCCUGAAUUAAAUUUUUGAGCUUGACACCCUCCACUUUUCUACAUGUUGCUCAAUUCUAAACAGGGAAAAUAAAAUCAGCUUUGUUCGUGAGCAUAUGCUUUUGACAUUUUUUCUUCUUGGAGCCUGUGAAUUAUUAAUAAACUAAUUUCUCUUUAUAGUUCAAUCUUUGGAGACUUAAAGUGCUCACUCAAAUGCACUGAACAAGAGGAAUGCUUCAGCUCCAAUCAGCUCCUGUCUUCUUUGGAAAUGCUGGCCCUGAGGGCACCUGCAUUGUUUCUGUCUCCUCACUGGGAUGAGUUCUACCAGUAACUCAGGAACAGCUCCC